Molecule: long non-coding RNA, 524 nt
Organism: Trichomycterus rosablanca
Lineage: Eukaryota; Metazoa; Chordata; Actinopteri; Siluriformes; Trichomycteridae
Exons: 4
Source: RefSeq, a predicted model, not a curated record
GAGGAAACUAAAAGAAAAGAUAGAAACAGGAAAGCGAGGAAAUGUAAAAAAAUAGAAAAGAAACUCACAGUGUGAGAAGAAUAACAAGAAAAAGAAAACCAAAGGGAAAAGAAACCAUUUUAGUAAAGCAGAGAAAGGAAAGGCAGUAAAAGUUAAACUGAAGUUAAUCUGUAGAGCUGAGCAAGACCUCGCUUGUCUCCCCUGCCGCACCAGUUAAGGCUUUUCGCAAGGUUGGGGGUGAACACCUUGCUGGCAAUUCUCCAGAUUGUCUUUUUCAUGGGCUUCUACUGAAUCCAGAGGGAUGACAUUCAAGUCUUCAUCAUCUUGCUGUUGUGGGGGCAAAAUUCGACGACCACACACAAGAGAUUCUACAAGAGAUGUCAGUAAACUCACCGUUGACAUGAGGUAGGAUGCCCUGGCCUUGUCCUGUCCCUUGAGAAGCAUCUGCCCAUGUACACUGGUUGGACAUGGGCCACCUUGAUGGAUCUCGUUGCUGUUAACAGCGAAUAAAAAAUUAGAAAAUA